UGAGCAAUCUGCCCUUCUCAUCGGAAUAAGCGUUGGAAACGACGUCUAAUGCCGAAUACGACCUCCUUUCAUAUGAUCGGAGGUGGAAAGCUCCGGCGGAGAAGGAUGAGCUCGCGGCCUAUCAGCUAGUUGGUGUGGGUAACGCCCACCAAGGCGACGACGGGUAGCCGGCCUGAGAGGGUGACCGGCCACACUGGGACUGAGACACGGCCCAGACUCC
Molecule: ribosomal RNA, 220 nt
Filed under: uncultured bacterium
Lineage: Bacteria
Description: partial 16S ribosomal RNA
Rfam family: Bacterial small subunit ribosomal RNA
Source: RNAcentral